UUGUGAUAGUUUUCCCGGGUUCUGCGGAUGUUUGACGUUCCCCCCCUUCAUACUCAAUAACCUAUUGCCCUUGCGCUUAGACGCAAGACACGCCAUUUGCAAAACAUUAGUUCGUAAUGGCAUUGAUAAACCUUUCACGGGAUUAAAAUUUCGUGACAAACAGGCCUACUAUUACAAGAAACUUCAGUGUUGUGUUUACUUCACUAUACAAGUUUGCAACUAUGGGUACAAAUACUAAGGACGACUUUUCAGAAUCAAAAGAAUACGGCGUAAAAUCUGAGGAAUUCGAAGACUUUUCUGAGACUAUGUUAGAUGGAAGCGAUAAGAAAUCAUUAGAGGACGGCUCAUUGUCAGAUCCUGAUAACUGUGGCAUGUGUGGUGGCCCAUUGGUUAUACCUCGAAUGCUGCACUGUUUACAUACAUUUUGCGAAGAAUGCCUAGGCAAAAAGCUUGUCGGGGAAGCUGGAGAUGCUGGAUCCACAGACACUUCAAUCCAAUGCCCGAUCUGUAACUAUUCAACCCUGGUUGGAACAAAGAAGUUAGCUGCUCUACCGCUUGAUGUCUCAAAGACAAAUGUUACCGACGUUUCCAACUCCCCCGAUUUGCAUUGCACUUCCUGCACUGCCAAAGAAAUGGCCAAGUCCAAAUGUAACACCUGCCAACACCUUCUAUGCAACAAUUGUGACAAGGCUCAUCAUUUUAUGAGAUGUUUCGAGUCACACAAGGUUGUUGCUCUCGAGGACAUGGUUAAAUCUGGUAUUAAGAUCACAGUUCACAAGCCUCUAGUAUGCGAUUUCCAUCCUGGCGAAAAUCUCAUCUUCUAUUGCUUGGUGUGCAGUGUAACAGCUUGCACGGAGUGUAUUAAAGUUGAUCAUAAAGGCCACCAGUUUGAGGGGAUACUCGACUCUGAACCAAGAGUUAGACAAGAGAUGGAGGGUUUGGUUAAGAAAGGCAAAGAAAAAAUCGAAAACCUCACCAAAGCUUCUGCUACUUUGAACAAUAACAUGGAAGAACUUUCCCACCAGCGCUCCACCGCUAGAGAUCUUAUCAAUGAAUCAUAUCAGAGUUACAAGGCUGUUCUUGAGAAAUGUAAGGAUGAUAUUUUAGAAGAGCUGACUGGAUUGUAUCAUGAACGUGAGCUAGUCCUCAUGCAAGAGAGUAAUGAGUUGGGCAAUACCAUUGUUAACUUAGAAGAUGCCUGUAAAUGCACUUCCAGCUUAUUGGAAGGCGGUACUGCACAAGAGAUGAUGUAUUUAAGAACAGCACUUGCUACUAGGUUGAUGACUUUAAACCACAAAUCACCCAAACUGGAAAAAUCAUUCAGUAUUGAGUUCAAAUCUGACUUGGAUAAGUUUGAAUAUGCUAUCAGGAGUAAUUUCGGAAAGUUUGCUACAGAGGAAGAUGUCAUCGUGAAAACAUCACAGUCUUCUCCAGUUUUACCUGAAUUGGCUCCCUUGAACAUCAACGGGAUCAAUGGAAUCAACAACUCACCACCUGCUAUCGUCACAAACGGUUGUAGCGCACCUUCGGUAACAACAACCAGUCCAAUUUCUUUACCCACAUCCAUGCAAUCUUCAUUCGACGGGGAACUUGGAAACAAUUUACAAAUGUUGAUGGCUCAGAGUCCUCCCUUACCCCACGUCAAUUCAAACCAAGGGUUUUCCCAAGGGUUUUCUAGUAUUGCCGAGUACAAUAUAGCACAACUAGCCACUUUAGCAGAAAACACAAACAGUGCUGCCACGUCACCAACUACAGCUCCGUUCAAUAUUGCCGAUAUUUUGAACAAUGAUACUGCCUUCAAGAAUAUUGCAACGUUAGUUAAGCUGGCAGAAAACGUACCAAACGGUAACAACAUGCUGGCUCGGUCCACAUCAGCAGCAUCCUUAAACUUAUCCAAUAAUCUAAUUAACGGUUUUGGUGGCGUUUCCACCUCGACCUCUCCUUUAUUAUCCACUCCUGAUGACAUCAUUCCAGAUCCUUUAACAAAUAUCAUCCCCAAUACAGGAACCAAUACUACUCCGUCGAUUCCUAGAUCCAACAAAGUUAGUCCUAUGCAGAUCCGCUGCAAGUUUGGCCAGUUGGGACCCGGCAAGGGGCAGUUCAAUUCUCCACAUGGAUUUUGCUUGGGAUUGGAAGAGGACAUUAUCGUUGCCGAUACAAAUAAUCAUAGAAUUCAGAUCUUUGAAAAAACCGGAACAUUCAAGUUUCAAUUUGGCAUCCCAGGUAAAGACGAAGGUCAGCUGUGGUAUCCCAGGAAAGUAGCAGUUAUGCGCAAUACCGGCAAAUACGUCGUAUGCGAUCGUGGCAACGAACGCUCCAGGAUGCAGAUCUUCACUAAAAACGGCCAUUUCUUGAAAAAGAUAGCUAUACGUUACAUCGACAUAGUCGCUGGCCUAGCAGUCACUGUCAAUGGUGAGAUUGUCGCCGUUGACAGCGUCAGUCCGACAGUAUUCAUCAUAGGGGAGAGUGGAGAUCUGCUGCGUUGGUUCGAUUGCAGUGAUUAUAUGAGAGAGCCAUCCGAUAUCGCUAUUCAUGGGAAGGAAUUUUACGUUUGUGACUUCAAAGGGCACAACGUGGUAGUAUUUAACGACGACGGGCAAUUUUUGCGUAGAAUCGGAUGUGAGAACCUAACCAACUUUCCCAACGGAAUUGAUAUAUCAGAUGCAGGAGACGUAUUGAUUGGAGAUUCCCAUGGAAAUCGAUUCCACGUUGCAGUCUUUUCACGCGAUGGGGGCUUGAUUUCGGAAUUCGAAUGUCCAUAUGUAAAGGUCUCCAGAUGUUGUGGAUUGAAAAUCACAUCCGAAGGUUACGUAGUAACCCUCGCCAAAAACAAUCAUCAUGUUCUGGUAUUGAAUACGUUAUACAUCCUGUAAACCCCGAAUAAUAUAGCGUCGUCGACGAAUAUUUUGACCUUAGUCCCUCUUCCCGACCAACUGUUUCAUGAAUAUGUUGUGUUAGUUGACAUCCUCUGACACAUGUUGUGUUAGUUGACAACCCUGACACAUUCUCACCCGACCCUCGCCUGUUGAGCUGUGGCAUUUAACAAUUUUUGAUAAAAAUAUUUUUAUGUAUUUAAUCUUCACAGUUCGUACCCAGAAAUAGACUAAGAACUCCCCGUAAAAAUAUGAGUAGAUAAGGUAUCGGUACGACACAAAUCAAAAUGUGCGUAGAAGAAAGUUAACAUUGUGUUUGUUCCAACACGACCGAGAACCGUCAGGAAACGGUAACGAUCCUGCGCAGUAAAGAAAAUCCGUUCCAACAAAAAUAUGAUCGUCAUCGGAUCGUCCUUCCCACUGUUCCAACAAGAAUUGUGAUCUUUCGGUGACGGUUUCGUGAUGAUCAUUUCAGUAAUCGGGCAAAUGCAUAAUGUGCUGGUUGGACUGACUUGAGCACUAGGAUUUAAUUCUUUAAAUUUUUUGAGCCUUUGAUCGACUAAAAGCACACAAGCUGUCACCAACAAAAAUGACAAAUAUAUGAUUACCGUCAUGGGACGAUAACUGGGCGAUAUAAUUACGAACAUGCGCACAACAAACGGUACAAGCAGUUUCGUGACGGUUUUUGGGCCGUCCAAAAGUUC
This 3577-nucleotide unclassified non-coding RNA is filed under the name Diabrotica virgifera virgifera (western corn rootworm). Its description in RNAcentral is "brain tumor protein". The record is from RNAcentral. Lineage: Eukaryota; Metazoa; Arthropoda; Insecta; Coleoptera; Chrysomelidae.